AACGCACAUUGCGCCCGCCAGCAUUCUGGCGGGCAUGCCUGUUCGAGCGUCAUUUCAACCCUCGAGCCCCCCUUGGGGGGCCCGGCGUUGGGGACCGGCACUAACACCGCCGGCCCCGAAAUGGAGUGGCGGCCCGUCCGCGGCGACCUCUGCGUAGUAACUCAACCUCGCAUCGGGACCCGGGCGCGGCCACGCCGUAAAACACCCAACUUUCUGAACGUUGACCUCGAAUCAGGUAGGAAUACCCGCUGAACUUAA
RNAcentral lists this unclassified non-coding RNA (258 nucleotides) under uncultured fungus. RNAcentral describes it as "partial contains 5.8S ribosomal RNA, internal transcribed spacer 2, and large subunit ribosomal RNA". Lineage: Eukaryota; Fungi. The record is from RNAcentral.